UCCGAAAUUACUGGGCGUAAAGCGCACGUAGGCGGCCUUGUAAGUCAGGGGUGAAAUCCCACAGCUCAACUUGGAACUGCCUUUGAUACUGUCAGUCUAGAGUAUAGUUGAAGUUGGCGGAAUGUGUCAUGUAGCGGUGAAAUGCUUAGAUAUGACACAGAACACCGAUCGCGAAGGCAGCUAGCUAAGCUAUAACUGACGCUCAUGCACGAAAGCGUGGGGAUCAAACAGGAUUAGAUACCCUGGUAGUCCACGCUGUAAACGAUGAUUACUCGAUGUUGGCGAUACACAGUCAGCGUCUGAGCGAAAGCAAUAAGUAAUCCACCUGGGGAGUACGAUCGCAAGAUUGAAACUCAAAGGAAUUGACGGGGGCCCGCACAAGCGGAGGAGCAUGUGGUUUAAUUCGAUGAUACGCGAGGAACCUUACCUGGGCUCGAACGUAAGAUGACUGUAGGUGAAAGCUUACAUCUCUUCGGAGCAUUUUACGAGGUGCUGCAUGGUUGUCGUCAGCUCGUGCCGUGAGGUGUCGGGUUAAGUCCCAUAACGAGCGCAACCCCUACCUUUAGUUGCCAUCAGGUCAUGCUGGGGACUCUAAAGGAACUGCCUACGCAAGUAGUGAGGAAGGCGGGGAUGACGUCAAAUCAGCACGGCCCUUACGUCCAGGGCUACACACGUGCUACAAUGGCCGAUACAGAGGGCAGCUACCUGGUGACAGGAUGCAAAUCCCAAAGUCGGUCUCAGUUCGGAUCGGAGUCUGCAACCCGACUCCGUGAAGUUGGAUUCGCUAGUAAUCGCGCAUCAGUCAUGGCGCGGUGAAUACGUUCCCGGGCCUUGUACACACCGCCCGUCAAGCCAUGGAAGCUGGGGGGACCUAAAGUCGAUAACCGCAAGGAGUCGCCUAGGGUAAAACCAGUGACUGGGGCUAAGUCGUAACAAGGUAACC
Molecule: ribosomal RNA, 943 nt
Filed under: uncultured Bacteroidota bacterium
Lineage: Bacteria; Pseudomonadati; Bacteroidota
Description: bacterial SSU rRNA
Rfam family: Bacterial small subunit ribosomal RNA
Source: RNAcentral